AACACUGUAGCCCGGAUUCACUCAUGCCUUUAUUUCUUCAACAGAUGUCAAGAGGUAUCUACAGUGUGCCAGGGACGUGGGGGACCGUUGAUAUUCUAAUGGGGCUGAUGGACAAUGAACAAGACAGGGAGGAAACAGUUGUAGUAAUUCACCAUGGGAGCUAAGGAGAAAAAGGGAUCCCAAGAAGACGGUCAAGGGGGUCACGCAGAGUGUGGUCCACAGCUGAUGCCAGCAGAGCGGACUGCCUUCCCCCCAGCGCGCAGCGCCCCGAAGGAGGGCUGGGCCAAGUGGCCUUCUUCUCCCAACCCGAAGGUGCCCUCAGGGCUGAGGGGCUACCCUCGUGGACACGGCUGGGCGGUCGUCCCUGGCUGCUCUCCUGGGGCAUCCUUCCUCCACUGCAGACGCCAGCCCAGCCUCAGCAGGGGUGCCGAGGGGACCCUGGUGAGCCGACCGGCCCGCGGAAGCGUGGGAGGGUCCCGAGGCCCCCUUGAGACGAGGGGGAAAUUUCCUUCUCUCCCCGUCUUGGAGGAGAUGAGUGCAUCUCUAGGGCGCGCCCUCAGAUCCUCUGACCUCAGGCCCUCUGACGCUUCCCUGUCUCUUUAUUAGAUACUCACAGCCGCGGUUACGGUCCCGCAGGAGGUAAAACCACGCGAAGGGACGUGAUGGGUAAGUGUAAGCUUCUCCCUGCCUGCACCAUCUCCUCUACUCGGAUGCAAUGACUCUUCCCCAAAGGGUCCAGGCCUUUAGUGGCAGAAAUCUCUAGAAAGAUAAACCCGCCCCUACCCUACAGUGUGUCUGGGGCUUCUUUCUAAGAGCUCUGGGUUUUGAUCUGCGUGCGCUGUCACGGUGGGUCAAGUGUUAGGCUUUGGGUCCAGUUUUCCUCCACCGCAGAGACUGCUGGUUCUCCCGAGGGCACCGUGGGGCAUGUCAGGGUGCGAGGGGCUGCCCAGCCCUCCCACUGCUGACCGAGAGGAGUGGCCCCUUCUUUUCAAGCCUCCUGUGGGCUUGAGCUGGAGGUCACCACAGGGCGUUGGGCCCAGGAGGGACUAGUCUGUGAGUAGAGGGGGCAGGAAGGACUCCUACUGUCCCUGCAGUCCUGGGGAGAUGCUGGUAUGCUGGGCUCAGGGCUCCCCACACCUGAUGCCGGAAUCUGGCCACGCCAGGCCAGUGUCCUCCUGCCUCCCUGAAAUAGAUCGGAAGCUGAGUCCAGCAAUUAAUCCCACGAGAAGUCUGCGUGAUUGCAGGGGGUUUUCUGUUUUGCUCCCUUGGCCUAGAUUUCCCCGGGGACCGUUCUGACCCAUGCCUCGUGCUUGGUAAAUUAAACAUUAAAAAAAAAUCUACACGAUGACUUCAAUCAAUUCGUUGAGAUGGCGGGCAGCCUCCUCCCAGAAGAGCUGGGUCCACUGGAGGGACCCCACCCCCAGGCUUGGGGUCUUAGAAGGGGGGGAGGCAGGACAGUUCUCCCCAGUGCCUGCCUCUGAGGGGAGGGGAGAAGGUGGGAGUUCCCCAGGGUGGCCUGUUGGAGCUCAGUGCCCCCUAAAUCCAGACU
Mustela putorius furo (domestic ferret) is the source of this 1549-nucleotide long non-coding RNA. The record is from Ensembl. NCBI's taxonomy places the organism in Eukaryota, Metazoa, Chordata, Mammalia, Carnivora, Mustelidae.